This 243-nucleotide long non-coding RNA is filed under the name Physcomitrium patens. RNAcentral's name for it is "long non-coding RNA (PPAT_LNC011859)". The record is from RNAcentral. Lineage: Eukaryota; Viridiplantae; Streptophyta; Bryopsida; Funariales; Funariaceae.
UUCUUUUGUUUGUUAUUUUUUUUGAAUAAGAGGAUUGAGAGUUUCUGAAUAUUCUGAAGUGAAUUAUGGAAUGGAAAUGUGAUUAGUAUUAUUUGAAAAGAAGAAAGAUUGAAUGCUGAAAUUUCAUUGUAGUUUAGCAGAGAGAAUGAGUCUGUGUUUGUGUGAAACACUGUAAUGUGAAUGGCAGUUAUGUGUGAAGAAUUCCAGUGAUUGGAACGAGGGUAAUUGUGUGUCGAAAGCUGU